Neofelis nebulosa (Clouded leopard) is the source of this 3456-nucleotide RNA transcript. It is a transcript of the gene named patr class I histocompatibility antigen, A-2 alpha chain-like, with no coding region annotated. The record is from RefSeq and is a predicted model, not a curated record. Lineage: Eukaryota; Metazoa; Chordata; Mammalia; Carnivora; Felidae. The transcript is spliced from 11 exons.
CCUUGGCCUGUCCUGGCCACGGACCGGCUGUGACUUCUAUUCUCCAGACCCUGAGGAUGCAGGUCGUGAUGCCCCGAACCCUCCUCUUGCUGCUGUCGGGGGCCCUGGCCGUGACCCAGACCUGCGCGGGCUCCCAUUCCUUGAUGUAUUUCGGCACCGCGGUGUCCCGGCCCAGCCUCGGGGAGCCCCGGUACUUGGAAGUCGGCUACGUGGACGACACACAGUUCGCGCGGUUCGACAGCGACGCCUCGAGUCCGAGGAUGGAGCCACGCGUGCAGUGGUUGAAGCAGGAGGCGCCGGAGUAUUGGGAGCAGGAGACGCGGGGCGCCAAGGACACCGCACAGACUUUCCGACAGAGCCUGAACACGCUGCGCGGCUACUACAACCAGAGCGAAGCGGGGUCUCACACCAUCCAGUGGCUGUCUUCCUGCGAAGUGGGGCCCGAUUGGCGCCUCCUCCGAGGAUACUGGCAGUUCGCCUAUGACGGCGAGGAUUACAUCGCCCUGAACGAGGACCUGCGCUCUUGGACCGCGGCGGACACGGCGGCGCAGAUCACCCGCCGCAAGUGGGAGGCUGCCGGAGCAGCCGAGCAUCAAAGGAACGACCUGCAGGUCACGUGCGUAGAGUGGCUCCGGAAGUACUUGGAGAGGGGGAACAAGACACUGCUGCGCACAGACCCCCCGAAGACACACAUCACCCACUACCCCACUUCUGACCAUGAUGUCACCCUGAAGUGCUGGGCCCUGGGUUUCUAUCCUGCGGAGAUCACCCUGACCUGGCAGCGUGAUGGGGAGGACCUGAUCCAGGACACGGAGUUUGUGGACACUAGGCCUGGGGGAGAUGGGACCUUCCAGAAGUGGGUGGCUGUGGUGGUGCCUUCUGGAGAGGAGCAGAGAUACACGUGCCAUGUGCAGCAUGGGGGGUUGCCCAAGCCCCUCAUGCUGAAAUGGGAGUCCCCUCCUCAGCGCAGCAUUCCCAUGGUGGGCAUUGUUGCUGGUCUGGUUUCCUUGGUGGUCAUCAGUGCUGUGGUGGUUGGAGCUGUCAUAUGGAGGAGGUAGAGCCAAGGUGGAAGAGAAAGGAGUUAUGCUCAGUCUGCAUGUAGUGACAGUGCCCAGGGCGCUCUCCACUGCUAAAGGAGGAAAAGGACUGAGCUACUCUCAUGCUGCAUGUGAUGUCAGUGCCCAGGGCUCUGAUGUGUCUCUCACAACUCCUAAAGUGUGAGCCAGCCACCUUGUGGGGGACUAAGUAAUGCAAGGAUUGUGCCCAUUCUUGCUCUUAUUUUGAGCAAUGGGGAACACUUAUAAAUUGUGUGGUUAUGAGAGAUCCAAACACCAAGAGCUCCUGAGGCUUUGGGUUUGUCACAUAUGCCACUGUGGAGAAGGUGGAUGCAGCCAUGAAUGCAAGACCACACAAGUUGGAUGUAAGAGUUGUAGAACCAAAGAGGGCUGUCUCCAGAGAAGAUUCUCAAAGACCUGGUGCUCACUUAACUGUGAAAAAGAUUUUUGUCAGUGGCAUUAAAGAAGAUACUGAAGGACAUCAUGUAAGAGAUUAUUUUGAACAGUAUGGGAAAAUUGAAGUGAUUGAAAUCAUGACUGACCGAGGCAGUGGCAAAAAGAGAGACUUUGCUUUUGUAACGUUUGAUGACCAUGACUCAGUAGACAAGAUUGUCUACAACACCAUACUGCGAAUGGUCACAACUGUGAAGUAAGGAAAGCUCUAUCUAAGCAAGAGAUGGCUGGUGCUUCAUCCAGCAAGGAGAUCGAAGUGGUUCUGGAAACUUUGGUGGUGGUCAUGGAGGUGGUUUUGGUGGGAAUGACAACCUGAUAGUCUGUUAUAGGAUCCAGCUCUUGUCUACACCAGUUUAUACUUACAAAUAAGUGGAGUGGUAUUGUAGGCCGGUGAAGUGACUACUCAAAAUGUCUUUUCCCUGUGUUUGUUCUUACUAGAUUUUAAAGAUCCAGUCUGUGCACUGACAUUUUAUAUUAAUUUUUUAUACUUCCUCAUACUUGGAUAUAUUUCUAAGGAAAGGAUCCCUAACAUUUAUCCAGUUUUUUUUUGUUGUUGUUGUUUAUUUAUUUUUGAAAGAGAGAGAGAGAGAGCGUGCACAAGUGGGGGAGGGGCAGAGAUAGAAGUGGGACAAGGUAUCUGAAUUGGGCUCUGCACUGACAGCAGUGAGCCCGAGGAGGGGCUCAAACCCAUAAGCCAUGAUACCAUGACUUGAGCCAAAGUGGUACACUCAACCAACUGAGCCACCCAGGUGCCCCUAACAUUUAUCAGUUUUUACGUAACACCUCCAAAAAGCUUUUUUUUUUUUUUAAGUCUAGUUUCUUAGUUUAAAGAUAGUUCUACUCAAAUGUGGUCUACAAAUAGCUGAUCAGCAAAUUGUUUAGUAGACUCAAGGGAAUAAUGUAAAUCCUUAUAUUUUGCUUAUAAGGAAACCUUUGUAGAGCUUUCCAGUUUACUCUCACUCUCCAGUUCUCAUGGUGGGCUAGUAACAAAACAUUGUAGACUGGUAUAGACUAGCAUUGGCUCACAGACUACAAGUAGCUUUAGUUUAGAUGGACUUGCAUCCUAGCACUUGUCCUGGUCAGGUAAAUACUAGUUAUUACCAUUAUUUAAAAAAAUUUUUUUUAACGUUUAUUUAUUAUUGAGAGACAGAGAGGCACAGAGCAUGAGCAGGGGAGGGGCCGAGGGAUGGAGAGAUACAGAAUCUGAAGCAGGCUUCACGCUCUGAGUCGUCAGCACAGAGCCCGACGUGGGGCUCAAAUUCACAAACCGCGAGAUCAUGACCUGAGCCAAAGUCGGACGCUUAACUGACUGAGCCACCCAGGCGCCCCAAAUACUAGUUAUUAUUAAGAAGUUAAUGGGGUUCCAUUUUCAGUAAUGUGGUCUUUUUUAAUUGCAGUAUAGUUGACACACAGUGUAACAUUAGUUUCAUGUGUACAACAUAGUGAUUUGACAACUCUAUACGUGAUGCUAUGCUCACCACAAUGUAUAGCUACCAUCUGUUAUCAUACAAUGCUAUAACAAUACCAUUGACUAUAUUCUUUAUGCUGUAGCUUUUACCCCUGUGACUUAAAUAAAAGCCUGUACCUCACAGUUCCCCUUCACCCAUUUUGCCCUUCCCCCACUUACCUCCCCCUGACAACCAUCAAUUUGUUCUCUAUGAGUCUGUUUCUACUUUUGUUUGUGUUUCUUCAUUUGUUCUGUUUUUUAGAUUUCACAGGUAAGUGAAAUCAUAUGGUAUUUUUCUUUUUCUGCCUGACUUAUUUCACUUAACAUAAGUCCAUCCAUGUUGCCAAAAUGACAAGAUUUCACAUUUUUAUGGCUAAGUAAUAUUCCACUGCAUAUAUACUCCACAUCUUCCUUAUUCAUUCAUCCAUUGAUGGACACUUAGGCUGUUUCCAUAUCUUAGCUAUUGUAAAUAAUGCUACAAUAAAUAUAGGAGUGCAUGUA